GGUGAACGCUGGCGGCGUGCCUAAUACAUGCAAGUCGAACGAAACUUCUUUAUCACCGAGUGCUUGCACUCACCGAUAAAGAGUUGAGUGGCGAACGGGUGAGUAACACGUGGGCAGCCUGCCCAAAAGAGGGGGAUAACACUUGGAAACAGGUGCUAAUACCGCAUAACCAUAGUUACCGCAUGGUAACUAUGUAAAAGGUGGCUAUACUACCGCUUUUGGAUGGGCCCGCGGCGCAUUAGCUAGUUGGUAGGGUAAAGGCUUACCAAGGCAAUGAUGCGUAGCCGAAUUGAGAGGUUGAUCGGCCACAUUGGGACUGAGACACGGCCCAAACUCCUACGGGAGGCAGCAGUAGGGAAUCUUCCACAAUGGGCGAAAGCCUGAUGGAGCAACGCCGCGUGGGUGAAGAAGGUCUUCGGAUCGUAAAACCCUGUUGUUAGAGAAGAAAGUGCGUGAGAGUAACUGUUCACGUUUCGACGGUAUCUAACCAGAAAGCCACUGCUAACUACGUG
This 512-nucleotide ribosomal RNA is filed under the name uncultured bacterium. Its description in RNAcentral is "partial 16S ribosomal RNA". It matches the Rfam family "Bacterial small subunit ribosomal RNA", at positions 28 to 507 of the family's 1533-position model. The record is from RNAcentral.